UUCUUCGGAUGAUUGAUUGGUGACUGAGUGGCGGACGGGUGAGUAACGCGUGGGUAACCUGCCCUGUACAGGGGGAUAACAGUUGGAAACGGCUGCUAAUACCGCAUAAGCGCACAGAGCUGCAUGGCUCAGUGUGAAAAACUCCGGUGGUAUAAGAUGGACCCGCGUUGGAUUAGCUUGUUGGUGGGGUAACGGCUCACCAAGGCGACGAUCAGUAGCCGACCUGAGAGGGUGACCGGCCACAUUGGGACUGAGACACGGCCCAAACUCC
Molecule: ribosomal RNA, 271 nt
Filed under: uncultured Eubacteriales bacterium
Lineage: Bacteria; Bacillati; Bacillota; Clostridia; Eubacteriales
Description: uncultured Clostridiales bacterium partial 16S ribosomal RNA
Rfam family: Bacterial small subunit ribosomal RNA
Source: RNAcentral